UCUUGACAUCCUCUGACAAUCCUAGAGAUAGGACGUCUCCUUCGGGAGCAGAGUGACAGGUGGUGCAUGGUUGUCGUCAGCUCGUGUCGUGAGAUGUUGGGUUAAGUCCCGCAACGAGCGCAACCCUUGAUCUUAGUUGCCAAUCAUUCAGUUGGGCACUCUAAGGUGACUGCCGGUGACAAACCGGAGGAAGGUGGGGAUGACGUCAAAUCAUCAUGCCCCUUAUGACCUGGGCUACACACGUGCUACAAUGGACAGAACAAAGAGCAGCAAAACCGCGAGGUGGAGCCAAUCUCACAAAUCCGUUCUCAGUUCGGAUCGCAGGCUGCAACUCGCCUACGUGAAGCUGGAAUCGCUAGUAAUCGCGGAUCAGCAUGCCGCGGUGAAUACGUUCCCGGGCCUUGUACACACCGCCCGUCACACCACGAGAGUUUGUAACACCCGAAGUCGGUG
Molecule: ribosomal RNA, 453 nt
Filed under: uncultured Bacillus sp.
Lineage: Bacteria; Bacillati; Bacillota; Bacilli; Caryophanales; Bacillaceae
Description: bacterial SSU rRNA
Rfam family: Bacterial small subunit ribosomal RNA
Source: RNAcentral